CUGUACAUAGCCCUAAGAGAUCACAUUUGUUUAUAUUUUACUUGUCAGGAAACAUUUACUGAAGCCUUACGCUAUGGUCGCAGUGCAAAGUCUAUGAAGAGAUUGUUUAAAAUCUGAUCAAAUCUUGGGGAAUUCUUGAGCAUAAUGACUGAUCUGAGCACCUUGGAUGUGACAGAUGUUUCCAUGUGGCCACUGCACGACGUCAGGGCUGCCAUUCUCAUAGACCGCUGUGUGCUCAUGCUUCUGCAGAGCUCAGUAGCGCACCAGUUUUGCCGCGGUAUGUGCCCAGAUUCAGUCUGCGAAGCAUCAUUUUAUCAAACGGGCCUUGAACAAAAGAAAAAGAAUCUUUCAUUGUACUUCUGUUUAUUUUACUAAACAGAUGUUAUUGGAAAAAUAUAAUUAGUUUUAUUGUAAAUAAUAGAAAUAAGUAAGGGUGACAAGGAAGA
This 446-nucleotide long non-coding RNA is filed under the name Chinchilla lanigera (long-tailed chinchilla). Its description in RNAcentral is "lncRNA (ENSCLAG00000028527.1)". Lineage: Eukaryota; Metazoa; Chordata; Mammalia; Rodentia; Chinchillidae. The record is from RNAcentral.